Molecule: ribosomal RNA, 406 nt
Filed under: uncultured bacterium
Lineage: Bacteria
Description: partial 16S ribosomal RNA
Rfam family: Bacterial small subunit ribosomal RNA
Source: RNAcentral
AUUGAACGCUGGCGGCAGGCAUAACACAUGCAAGUCGAACGAGAGGCGGACGGGGGAGUAAUGUCUGGGAAACUGCCUGAUGGAGGGGGAUAACUACUGGAAACGGGAGCUAAUACCGCAUACCAUCAGAUGUGCCCAGAUGGGAGUAGCUUGUUGGUGGGGGAAAGGCUCACCAAGGCGACGAUCCAUAGCUGGUCGGAGAGGAUUACCAGCCACACUGGAACUGAGGCACGGUCCAGACUCCUCCGGGAGGCAGCAUUGGGGAAUAUUGCACAAUGGUCGCAAGCCUGAUGCAGCCAUGCCGCGUGUAUGAAGAAGGCCUUCGGGUUGUAAAGUACUUUCAGCGGGGAGGCGUUACCCGCAGAAGAAGCACCGGCUAACUCCGUGCCAGCCGCCGCGGUAAUAC